Molecule: ribosomal RNA, 468 nt
Filed under: uncultured bacterium
Lineage: Bacteria
Description: partial 16S ribosomal RNA
Rfam family: Bacterial small subunit ribosomal RNA
Source: RNAcentral
GGCGAACGCUGGCGGCGUGCUUAACACAUGCAAGUCGAACGGAAAGGCCCUGCUUUUGUGGGGUGCUCGAGUGGCGAACGGGUGAGUAACACGUGAGUAACCUGCCCUUGACUUUGGGAUAACUUCAGGAAACUGGGGCUAAUACCGGAUAGGAGCUCCUGCUGCAUGGUGGGGGUUGGAAAGUUUCGGCGGUUGGGGAUGGACUCGCGGCUUAUCAGCUUGUUGGUGGGGUAGUGGCUUACCAAGGCUUUGACGGGUAGCCGGCCUGAGAGGGUGACCGGCCACAUUGGGACUGAGAUACGGACCAGACUCCUACGGGAGGCAGCAGUGGGGAAUAUUGCACAAUGGGCGGAAGCCUGAUGCAGAAACGCCGCGUGCGGGAUGACGGCCUUCGGGUUGUAAACCGCUUUCGCCUGUGACGAAGCGUGAGUGACGGUAAUGGGUAAAGAAGCACCGGCUAACUACGUG